Molecule: ribosomal RNA, 460 nt
Filed under: uncultured bacterium
Lineage: Bacteria
Description: partial 16S ribosomal RNA
Rfam family: Bacterial small subunit ribosomal RNA
Source: RNAcentral
CCUACGGGAGGCUGCAGUGAGGAAUAUUGGUCAAUGGACGCGAGUCUGAACCAGCCAAGUCGCGUGAAGGAUGACUGCCCUAUGGGUUGUAAACUUCUUUUAUAUGGGAGUAAACUGUUCCACGUGUGGGAUUUUGUAUGUACCAUAUGAAUAAGGAACGGCCAACUCCGUGCCCGCAGCCGCGGUAAUACGGAGGGUCCGAGCGUUAGCCGGAUUUAUUGGGUUUAAAGGGAGCGUAGGGGGGUUGUUAAGUCAGUUGUGAAAGUUUGCGGCUCAACCGUAAAAGUGCAGUUGAAACUGGCAGUCGUGAGUACAGUAGAGGUGGGCGGAAUUCGUGGUGUAGCGGUGAAAUGCUUAGAUAUCACGAAGAACUCCGAUUGCGAAGGCAGCUCACUGGACUGCAACUGACACUGAGGCGCGAAAGUGUGGGGAUCAAACAGGAUUAGAUACCCGAGUAGUC